UACAGAGGUCCCAAGCGUUGUUCGGGUUCACUGGGCGUAAAGGGUGCGUAGGUGGUAAGGUAAGUCGGAUGUGAAAUCUCCAGGCUCAACCUGGAAAUGGCAUCGGAAACUACCUUGCUCGAGGUUUGGAGGGGGGACUGGAAUACUUGGUGUAGCAGUGAAAUGCGUAGAUAUCAAGUGGAACACCAGUGGCGAAGGCGAGUCCCUGGACAACACCUGACACUGAGGCACGAAAGCUAGGGGAGCAAACAGG
RNAcentral lists this ribosomal RNA (253 nucleotides) under uncultured bacterium. Its description in RNAcentral is "partial 16S ribosomal RNA". It matches the Rfam family "Bacterial small subunit ribosomal RNA", at positions 524 to 776 of the family's 1533-position model. The record is from RNAcentral.